GGGGCCACUGCCUCCACCUUUGAGCAGCGCUGCUGUGGGGAUCUGGGCAUGAGACCCCUUCACCCAGGAGGGGAGGCGCAGCCUGGAGACACAGGCCCCAUCAUUCCCAAUGGGGACAAUUCAGGGAGUGGCUCUCAGGUCCUGAGAAAGACUUUCCUGGCCACAGGAGAUGCACGGACAUCGGGAACAGACAGAGGAAGGACGUGCAGUUGCAGCCUUUUCAGCAGACGCCCUGAGAACGGGAGGUCGGGAGUCGGAGCAAACGGGCCUCAGACCUAAGGCAGGAGCACCCCCUACGCCAGACCUCCUGGGUCACAGGAAAUGCACAGACAUUGGGAAGGGGCAGAGGACGGAUGGAGGAAGGAUGUGCAGUUGCAGCUCUUUCUGCAGAUGCCCUGAGAGAGGAGCAAGAAGGUCCUCGCCAGAUGCUCCUGGACUUGCUUUGGACUUUCCCUUGCUCUUGACUUCACAGCCUCUAGAACUUUGAGAAAUAAAUUUCCGUUUGG
This 506-nucleotide long non-coding RNA is filed under the name Pongo abelii (Sumatran orangutan). RNAcentral's name for it is "lincRNA". Lineage: Eukaryota; Metazoa; Chordata; Mammalia; Primates; Hominidae. The record is from RNAcentral.